AUUGAACGCUGGCGGCAGGCCUAACACAUGCAAGUCGAACGGUAACAGGAAGCAGCUUGCUGCUUCGCUGACGAGUGGCGGACGGGUGAGUAAUGUCUGGGAAGCUGCCUGAUGGAGAGGGAUAACUACUGGAAACGGUAGCUAAUACCGCAUAAUGUCGCAAGACCAAAGAGGGGGACCUUCGGGCCUCUUGCCAUCGGAUGUGCCCAGAUGGGAUUAGCUUGUUGGUGGGGUAACGGCUCACCAAGGCGACGAUCCCUAGCUGGUCUGAGAGGAUGACCAGCCACACUGGGACUGAGACACGGUCCAGACUCCUACGGGAGGCAGCAGUGGGGAAUAUUGCACAAUGGGCGCAAGCCUGAUGCAGCCAUGCCGCGUGUAUGAAGAAGGCCUUCGGGUUGUAAAGUACUUUCAGCGGGGAGGAAGGGAGUAAAGUUAAUACCUUUGCUCAUUGACGUUACCCGCAGAAGAAGCACCGGCUAACUCCGUG
This 490-nucleotide ribosomal RNA is filed under the name uncultured bacterium. RNAcentral's name for it is "partial 16S ribosomal RNA". It matches the Rfam family "Bacterial small subunit ribosomal RNA", at positions 30 to 507 of the family's 1533-position model. The record is from RNAcentral.